GGGAAUGUUGGACUGACUGUAUCAGAUUUUACUGAUUGAGUUGUUCGUAAGCGAGUUCCGCUAGUUGAGCCAACUAUCUUGUGUACUUGUUCUGAGGCAUUGUGCAAGUGAUGAGAUCAAUAGACGCGACGGUAGCCAGAGGAGUACGCUGAUGACGCGUUUGAACUGCUUCAAAGAUGUUAUCCAGGUUUUGGAUUGGUAAGUCUGCUGCAAGGUGGCAGCGUCGCUCUGCUCUUGCGGCAUUUCUUGCUCGUUGUUGAGUUCUUUGAGCUUUGGCUUCUUGCGGCAUUUCUUGCUCGUUGUUGAGUUCUUUGAGCUUUGGCUUCUUCUCCAACAACAUUGGCGGUGAGCUC
RNAcentral lists this long non-coding RNA (353 nucleotides) under Setaria viridis. RNAcentral's name for it is "long non-coding RNA (SVIR_LNC001795)". Lineage: Eukaryota; Viridiplantae; Streptophyta; Magnoliopsida; Poales; Poaceae. The record is from RNAcentral.